Molecule: ribosomal RNA, 338 nt
Filed under: Wugigarra undanbi
Lineage: Eukaryota; Metazoa; Arthropoda; Arachnida; Araneae; Pholcidae
Description: SSU rRNA
Rfam family: Eukaryotic small subunit ribosomal RNA
Source: RNAcentral
UUAGAUGUCCGGGGCCGCACGCGCGCUACACUGAAGGAACCAGCGUGUGCUCUCCCUGUCCGGCAGGACUGGGUAACCCGCUGAACCUCCUUCGUGAUAGGGACAGGGGCUUGUAACUGUUCCCCUCGAACGAGGAAUUCCCAGUAAGCGCGAGUCAUAAGCUCGCGUUGAUUACGUCCCUGCCCUUUGUACACACCGCCCGUCGCUACUACCGAUUGAAUGAUUUAGUGAGGUCUUCGGACUGGCGCUCGGAGCGGUGCUCGCGCGCCGGGCCGACGUGCCGGAAAGAUGACCAAACUUGAUCAUUUAGAGGAAGUAAAAGUCGUAACAAGGUUUCC